RNAcentral lists this ribosomal RNA (384 nucleotides) under uncultured bacterium. RNAcentral describes it as "bacterial SSU rRNA". It matches the Rfam family "Bacterial small subunit ribosomal RNA", at positions 9 to 353 of the family's 1533-position model. The record is from RNAcentral.
GAUGUUUGAUCAUGGCUCAAGACGAUUCGCUGGCGGCGUGCGUAGCGCAUGCAAGUCGAACGAGAAACCAGCCUUUGAUUCCUUCGGGAUGAGUAGGGCCGAGUAGAAAGUGGCGAUCGGGUGAGUAACGCGUGGGUAAUCUACACCUGUAAGUGGGGGAUAACCCUCCGAAAGGAGGGCUGAUACCGCAUAGCAUCUUCCCUUCAUAAGAAGGAGAGAUAUAAAGAUGGCCUCUUUAUAUGCUAUCACUUCAGGAGGAGUCCGCGUCCUAUUAGUUAGUUGGUAGGGUAAUGGCCUACCAAGACCACAAUGGGUAGCCGGUCUGAGAGGAUGUACGGCCACACUGGGACUGAGAUGCGGCCCAGACUCCUACGGGAGGCAGCA